GACGAACGCUGGCGGCGUGCCUAAUACAUGCAAGUCGAACGAACCGCGACUAAGUGCUUGCACUAAGUCAAGGUGAGUGGCGAACGGGUGAGUAACACGUGGGUAACCUACCUCAUAGUGGGGGAUAACAGUCGGAAACGACUGCUAAUACCGCAUAGGACAUAGGAUCACAUGAUCCAGUGAGGAAAGGUGGCGCAAGCUAUCGCUAAGAGAUGGACCCGCGGUGCAUUAGCUAGUUGGUAGGGUAAAGGCCUACCAAGGCGAUGAUGCAUAGCCGACCUGAGAGGGUGAUCGGCCACAUUGAGACUGAGACACGGCCCAAACUCCUACGGGAGGCAGCAGUAGGGAAUCUUCCGCAAUGGACGCAAGUCUGACGGAGCAACGCCGCGUGAGUGAAGAAGGUCUUCGGAUCGUAAAGCUCUGUUGUUAGAGAAGAACAGCGCAUAGAGUAACUGCUAUGCGUGUGACGGUAUCUAACCAGAAAGCCACGGCUAACUACGUG
This 502-nucleotide ribosomal RNA is filed under the name uncultured bacterium. RNAcentral's name for it is "partial 16S ribosomal RNA". It matches the Rfam family "Bacterial small subunit ribosomal RNA", at positions 28 to 507 of the family's 1533-position model. The record is from RNAcentral.